CAUGUCUGGAAUCCUGAAGAGAUUUAGGAGUGCUCGAAAGAGAACCAGAACACAGGUGCUGCAUGGCCGUCGUCAGCUCGUGUCGUGAGAUGUUGGGUUAAGUCCCGCAACGAGCGCAACCCUUGUCAUUAGUUGCUACGAAAGGGCACUCUAAUGAGACUGCCGGUGACAAACCGGAGGAAGGUGGGGAUGACGUCAGGUCCUCAUGGCCCUUAUGGGUAGGGCUACACACGUCAUACAAUGGCCGGUACAGAGGGCUGCCAACCCGCGAGGGGGAGCCAAUCCCAGAAAACCGGUCGUAGUCCGGAUCGCAGUCUGCAACUCGACUGCGUGAAGUCGGAAUCGCUAGUAAUCGCGGAUCAGCUUGCCGCGGUGAAUACGUUCCCGGGUCUUGUACACACCGCCCGUCACACCAUGGGAGCGGGUUCUGCCAGAAGUAGUUAGCCUAACCGCAAGGAGGGCGAUUACCAUGGCAGGGUUCGUGACUGGGGUGA
This 494-nucleotide ribosomal RNA is filed under the name uncultured bacterium. Its description in RNAcentral is "bacterial SSU rRNA". It matches the Rfam family "Bacterial small subunit ribosomal RNA", at positions 985 to 1483 of the family's 1533-position model. The record is from RNAcentral.